GGGGGAGAGACCGAACAGCACAUGGAGGAGGAGGAGAAGAUAAAAUUCAAGUGAUUCCAUGGUCAUCCAAGCUUCAAAUCAAGGACCUUGGAACAUCCAAGGGGAUGUCUUUUUUAUGUCAACCGAAGGCUCAAACACUUGGAAGGUUAGGGAAAGCAAACGGAAAGCAAGAGGGAAGCUAUGUUACAAGGUAUAAAGGGCAUGGAGGAAAAGUCAAGGA
This is a long non-coding RNA of Neltuma alba, 220 nucleotides long. RefSeq lists it as uncharacterized. The transcript has 3 exons. NCBI's taxonomy places the organism in Eukaryota, Viridiplantae, Streptophyta, Magnoliopsida, Fabales, Fabaceae. The record is from RefSeq and is a predicted model, not a curated record.